RNAcentral lists this ribosomal RNA (441 nucleotides) under uncultured bacterium. RNAcentral's name for it is "bacterial SSU rRNA". It matches the Rfam family "Bacterial small subunit ribosomal RNA", at positions 339 to 796 of the family's 1533-position model. The record is from RNAcentral.
CUACGGGAGGCAGCAGUGGGGAAUCUUGCGCAAUGGGCGAAAGCCUGACGCAGCAACGCCGCGUGGGGGAUGAAGGCUCUCGGGUUGUAAACCCCUUUCAGCAGGGACGAAUCAAGACGGUACCUGCAGAAGAAGCCCCGGCUAACUACGUGCCAGCAGCCGCGGUAACACGUAGGGGGCAAGCGUUGUCCGGAUUUAUUGGGCGUAAAGAGCUCGUAGGCGGCUCGGUAAGUCGGGUGUCAAAUCCCCAGGCUCAACCUGGGGCUGCACUCGAUACUGCUGUGGCUAGAGUCCGGUAGGGGAGCAUGGAAUUCCUGGUGUAGCGGUGAAAUGCGCAGAUAUCAGGAGGAACACCAGCGGCGAAGGCGGCUUGCUGGAUCUCAACUGACGCUGAGACGCGAAAGCGUGGGUAGCGAACGGGAUUAGAUACCCUGGUAGUCC